AACGAACGUUGGCGGCGUGGAUGAGGCAUGCAAGUCGAACGUGAAAGCCGCAAGGCGAGUAAAGUGGCGGACGGGCGAGUAACACGUAAUCAAGCUGCCUGCGAGACGGGGAUAACCUCGGGAAACCGAGGCUAAGACCCGAUGGUCUCCGAGGAUCGCAUGGUCUUUGGAGUAAAUGGGCGGGAUCCUUCGGGAUCGCCUGCUCGCAGAGGUGAUUGCGGCCCAUCAGCUAGUUGGUAGGGUAAUGGCCUACCAAGGCAACGACGGGUAGCCGGCCUUAGAGGGUGGUCGGCCGCACUGGGACUGAGACACUGCCCAGACUCCUACGGGAGGCUGCAGUCGAGAAUCUUCCGCAAUGGGCGAAAGCCUGACGGAGCGACGCCGCGUGGAGGAUGAAGGCCUUCGGGUUGUAAACUCCUGUCACGAGUUAAGAAGGGAAUGCAGCGAACAGCUGUAGAUCUUGACGUAAGCUCGAGAGGAAGCACUGGCUAACUCUGUG
This 499-nucleotide ribosomal RNA is filed under the name uncultured organism. Its description in RNAcentral is "bacterial SSU rRNA". It matches the Rfam family "Bacterial small subunit ribosomal RNA", at positions 29 to 507 of the family's 1533-position model. The record is from RNAcentral.